UCUGGUUGAUCCCGGCAGAGGUUACUGCUAUCGAGGUUCGACUAAGCCAUGCGAGUCGAAUGUAGCAAUACAUGGCGUACUGCUCAGUAACACGUGGACAACCUACCCUUAGGUCGGGGAUAAACCCGGGAAACUGGGUAUAAUACCCGAUAGAUCUCGACUGCUGGAAUGCAUCGAGAUCGAAAGCUCCGACGCCUAAGGAUGGGUCUGCGGCCUAUCAGGUAGUAGUGGGUGUAGCGUACCUACUAGCCUACGACGGAUACGGGUUGUGAGAGCAAGAGCCCGGAGAUGGAUUCUGAGACACGAAUCCAGGCCCUACGGGGUGCAGCAGGCGCGAAAACUUUACAAUGCUGGAAACAGCGAUAAGGGGACCUCGAGUGCCAGGUUACAAAUCUGGCUGUCGUGAUGCCUAAAAAGCAUUGCAUAGCAAGGGCCGGGCAAGACCGGUGCCAGCCGCCGCGGUAACACCGGCGGCUCGAGUGGUAACCGUUAUUAUUGGGUCUAAAGGGUCUGUAGCCGGCCGGAUAAGUCUCUUGGGAAAUCCAGCAGCUCAACUGUUGGGCUUUCAGGAGAUACUGUCUGGCUCGAGGCCGGGAGAGGUGAGAGGUACUUCAGGGGUAGGGGUGAAAUCUUGUAAUCCUUGAAGGACCACCAGUGGCGAAGGCGUCUCACCAGAACGGACCUGACGGCAAGGGACGAAAGCUAGGGGCACGAACCGGAUUAGAUACCCGGGUAGUCCUAGCCGUAAACGAUACUCGCUAGGUGUCGGCCACGGUGCGACCGUUGUCGGUGCCGUAGGGAAGCCGUGAAGCGAGCCACCUGGGAAGUACGGCCGCAAGGCUGAAACUUAAAGGAAUUGGCGGGGGAGCACCACAACGGGUGGAGCUUGCGGUUUAAUUGGAUUCAACGCCGGAAAUCUUACCGGGACCGACAGCAAUAUGAAGGCCAGGCUGAAGACUUUGCCGGAUUAGCUGAGAGGUGGUGCAUGGCCGUCGUCAGUUCGUACUGUGAAGCAUCCUGUUAAGUCAGGCAACGAGCGAGACCCA
Molecule: ribosomal RNA, 1046 nt
Filed under: uncultured archaeon
Lineage: Archaea
Description: bacterial SSU rRNA
Rfam family: Archaeal small subunit ribosomal RNA
Source: RNAcentral